GUGAGGAAUCUUGCGCAAUGGGCGAAAGCCUGACGCAGCGACGCCGCGUGGAGGAUGAAGGUCUUCGGAUCGUAAACUCCUGUCGAGCGGGACGAAGGUCGAGGGGUCAAUACCCUCUCGGCUCGACGGUACCGCUGGAGGAAGCCCCGGCUAACUCCGUGCCAGCAGCCGCGGUAAUACGGAGGGGGCCAGCGUUGUUCGGAAUCAUUGGGCGUAAAGGGCGCGUAGGCGGCCCAGCAAGUCGGAUGUGAAAUCCCUCGGCUCAACCGGGGAACUGCAUCCGAAACUACUGGGCUCGAGUCCUGGAGAGGGUAGUGGAAUUCCCGGUGUAGCGGUGAAAUGCGUAGAUACCGGGAGGAACACCGGUGGCGAAGGCGGCUACCUGGACAGGUACUGACGCUGAGGCGCGAAAGCUAGGGGAGCAAACAGGAUUAGAUACCCUGGUAGUCC
RNAcentral lists this ribosomal RNA (450 nucleotides) under uncultured bacterium. RNAcentral's name for it is "bacterial SSU rRNA". It matches the Rfam family "Bacterial small subunit ribosomal RNA", at positions 354 to 796 of the family's 1533-position model. The record is from RNAcentral.